CAGGAUGAACGCUGGCGGCGUGCUUAACACAUGCAAGUCGAACGAGUUAAGACUCGGUUUAACCGAGUGGCGGACGGGUGAGUAACGCGUGGGUAACCUGCCGUAUGCAGGGGGACAACAGUUAGAAAUGACUGCUAAUACCGCAUAAGCUACAGUAUCGCAUGAUACAAUGAGAAAAGAUUUAUCGGCAUACGAUGGACCCCGCGUCUGAUUAGCUAGUUGGUGAGGUAACGGCCCACCAAGGCGACGAUCAGUAGCCGACCUGAGAGGGUGACCGGCCACAUUGGGACUGAGACACGGCCCAAACUCCUACGGGAGGCAGCAGUGGGGAAUAUUGCACAAUGGGCGCAAGCCUGAUGCAGCGACGCCGCGUGAGUGAUGAAGUAUUUCGGUACGUAAAGCUCUAUCAGCAGGGAAGAUAAUGACGGUACCUGACUAAGAAGCCCCGGCUAACUACGUGCCAGCAGCGGC
RNAcentral lists this ribosomal RNA (471 nucleotides) under uncultured bacterium. Its description in RNAcentral is "bacterial SSU rRNA". It matches the Rfam family "Bacterial small subunit ribosomal RNA", at positions 25 to 518 of the family's 1533-position model. The record is from RNAcentral.